UGGGGUGAGCUAUACAAUGGGUUGAUCUGUAGAAUGGAGUGAGCUGGACAAUGGGGCUACUCACCCCACCCACCUUGCAAAGUGAUGCAGGACAGGAAAUGGGUUAAUAGAAGCUCGGAUUUAGAAGAGUGCCUGGCACGCCUAAGGGCUCAAGCCGUCUGUGUAAUUAUCUUAAACUUUUUCAUUUCGGAAAUGAAACAGCUCCUCCCUUCACCGCCACCUUGGCUAUUUCUGGGACCAAAGGAAUCCUUGAAGCUGACCGGGCAGGAGAGUCCACGCUGGGAGUAAAAUCACUACAAACUGUCCAUCAGAAGGCCCCUGCUGAGUAGUUGGCAGGGUGGCUGCACAUAAUGGAAAGCACAUAAGCUUGAAGCCAGACAGAUGGGAGUUCUAACCCCAGCCCUGCCACUUAUUCCCAGGUGACACUGAUUAUGAACAAAGCUACUGGAAAUGUCUGAGUGGAAGUUUUUGUGUGGAUGUAAGUUUUCGGCUCCUUUGGAUAAAUACCA
RNAcentral lists this long non-coding RNA (509 nucleotides) under Homo sapiens (human). Its description in RNAcentral is "HSALNT0317971". The record is from RNAcentral. Lineage: Eukaryota; Metazoa; Chordata; Mammalia; Primates; Hominidae.